AAUAAAAAUAAAAAAAAACGUGGGAGAGUAUUUCUGUUUAAGCAUUCCGUGAUAAUAAAAACAGUUCAUAAGGUAAGGCACAUCAAACAGUAAAUAAAAGUGAGUGGGCAUCAUACAACCCAAAAUAGAACAAAAAAAUUUAAGAGAUAAUGGAAUGUAGCAAUCACUCAUUACACUGAGAAUUAUCUAAAAUUAUCGCCAUCAUUGCAUAAUUGUCAUAAAACACCAACAGCCAUGUCACCUAUAAAAUGAAAAACACAUUUUCUUUGUCGCAAAACCAGUGAGUGCAGGGUGUUUCUGCCCGCACAAGGAGACGAUGAAUUUCUUGUAUAGCAGCAACAUAUUCAUAUUCAUAUUAAUAUAUAUAUUUGUCUAUAGACGGGGCACGGUGAAUCGACAACUACCGCCUCAAGCUCUCCACGAUGUAGUCCGCGUAGAGAUUCCUUCAAAACAGAAUGUUGAAAUAAAAUUAGAUCUCUAUUUUGAAACUGUUAACAGAGCAUAAAUGAAUUUGGACACAAGCAAAAGUCUCCGAAAAGAAAGAAUCACAAGCUGUAAAGCAACCCCACUUAAAUCUUUAGUGUUUUUCUUCCUUUUCCUUAAGCUGAAAGCUCUAUUAGACUUGCAUUUGAUUAAUUAUAUGAACGUGAUCUAUACGUAUAUAUUUUCACACUAAGCAUUUGAAAGAAAGUCUGAUAUAAGUAACAAGUUUUUCUUUUGCCUGUAUCAGUAUUAUAUUAAUAUAUGUUGCAAUGUCAUUAUCGUAUUUAAGAUAUUUUAUAUUUUUAUAAAAUUUAAUAUAUUCACAAUUCAUAUUGAAAGGAUUCUGAGAUUCAUGUAUUUGUCAUGUCAUAUUCUGCAUCGAGUUUUUUAAUUAUUUUUUUGUGAUAUUUCCAGACUUGGAUUGGAGACAGGAAACUAUAACUUACAAGGAGUGUUGGAUUGCCUCGUAUGCAGUAGAGGCAGGCAGAAAGUCAUUAACAGCAACUUCUUUGUUCUCAUUCUUCUUAUCUGCGGUAUUUAACAAGGCAAAAGAAAGUUAAUAGGCUUCAACUAAUGGACCGGUCUAAAAAACAUAUCAUAUCCUUCAGAAGUUACAUAUAACACUUGCUUUACUAGAAAGCAUAAUUUAAUUAUAGCCAAGAAAGAUACAUACAGUCUUCAAAGAAGCGACGGAUUUCAGCCAGGCGGUGAGGUGGGAGUUCCUUGAUAUCAUUGUAGUGACGAUACUCAGGAUCAUCGGCACAGACAGCAAUAAUCUUGUCAUCUUUCUCACCCUGCAUUCAUAAAAUUCCAAAGUUUUCCUCGUUUGCUUUUAUACACAUCCAUUGGUCAGCAGUAUUUUAAUCAGUGGACAGUGGUUAAUCAGUACCUGAUCAAUCAUAGGCAUCAGACCUAUAGCUUUAGCGCGAAGAAAGCAUCCUGGAAUAACUGGUUCCUGUAUAAGUUUUAAUGGUAACAUAAGUGAUAACAUAAAAUUUUUAGAGCUCUUAUCAAUUAUGAUUUAUAAGUAUUGCAUGUGGCAUUGGCCGAUGUAUGGAAUUUAUAAUACUGUGCCAAACAUAGUGCACUAGGCAAACCGAGCCAUUACAAGAGAGUUCCAAAGCAUGAAACAUGCUUCACAACCAUGAAUUAGAUUGAUAUUUUAGAUACAGAUGUGGAUCAAAAAGUGUACCUGCAUAAUGAUCAAGACAUCCAUGGGAUCAUUGUCUUCACAAAGAGUACGAGGGAUGAAUCCGUAGUUGUGAGGAUACACAACUGAUGAGUAAAGCACUCGAUCAACCUUCAAAAUUAUGCACCUUUAUCAGCAACCAAUUAAAUUCUACAAAGAGUGGCAAAUACAUUUGGACAGUUAAUAGUAAUUACCAUGAUCAGACCAGUUUUCUUGUCAAGUUCAUAUUUCACCUUGCUACCUUUUGGGAUUUCAAUCACCUGUAGAUAUUAACCACGUCUUCAGUACAAGUAUAAAGAGCUCUGAAAUGUAAAAAAUUCUCAAACAUGAUAACUGAGAAAUACGGCCAUGAGAAAAAGAUUUAAAAUGCCAAAUGUCUAUAAGAAAUGUGUUAGGAGACAACCAAACACCUACUUAUUGUAGAACUCUACAAAAGCAUUUUAUUAAAUGUCAAACGUGCCAUCCAAAAUGUAAUGCUAAUGGUUAGGGGAAGGUAAAUUUUAGUACACUUACACAGUUGAAAACCAUUGGAGCUCCAGGUCCUACAAGAAAAUUUUUACAAAUAGUAGAAAAAAAGUACAUUAUUAGAUUUACAACAUACCAACAGAAAACACACACACUGAGCUUAAGUUGACAUUCAUACCAAUCUCAAGAUCAUGCCAUGGGUGAGCAGCAACAGACCUUCUGCUCAUUGAUGAAAGAAUCCUUUCAUUCAAAGGAGGAUGUGAUGCGUGGUGAGAGCCAGAGGACUUGGUCGGAGUCUCAAUUGGUGGUGCCAUCUCUGUGAGUUACAAACAAUGUAUCAAUAACUACUAUAAAAAGUUCAUGAAAGGAUUACAGUUCCAUAUAAAAUUCUCAAGAUUAAAUGCUGAAAGUCCCAUUGAUCUGUUACAUUUCUUUUUCUUUUAAUUUAUAGAUCAUAUUGCUUAACCAAAAUAAGCAUCUAAAACAAGAAAUUUUUCGCCCAGGCAUUGGCCUUCUCUUUCAUAAAACUUGAAUUUCUUUUAACGCGGAGCUUUUCUGCUUGGCAAGCUAAAGGUUUUUCUUAGCAGCAGAUUAUUAUGAUAAAGGACAAGAAGCAAACAUAUCAAGGCAAAACUCUCAAGAACCUAAAAGUAAAUUGGGAAAAUAUACCAAAUAACUUAACUUAUUAAAAAUUUUCCUCAUCUCUGUUUCGUAAAAUAAGCAUAGCAGAUAAUUAAAUUUUCUACAACGUUUCCUAGCACAGUAUCUUGCACAGAGAUUACACGGAAAAAAUUUGAGAACCUUGUUUGGAAUUAAAAAAAUGUAGGGGUAUAAAAUAAUAAACACCAGAUCUAUAAAGCUAUUAACAAAUGCUAAAAGGAGGAAAUACAGAACAAAAGUUAAUAUUAAAAAAACGUGAUUUCAGCUCAAGAUCAACUCCAGAUAAAUUUUCAGCAGGAACUUACUAAAAAAGAAAAAGAAAAACAACUGAUCUCCGAUAAUUUUAAAGCAAAAGAAUAAAGGAAAAAUACGCAUUUCUUCCAUGCUGCAGCCUAAACACAAGUUACAACUUACAACUAGAGGAAGCAAUCAGAUCCAGCAAUAGAGCAUAAACGAGGAGAAACGGAGCUUAAAAACGAAAAUUAAAGAUCUAAAACGUUGAAAAAUGCAUUUUAAACGUACCUUCAGCGGUUUCCUGUUCUUAAGAAAAUAAAGCUUUCAAGAAGCUAAUUGAAAAGAAGAAAACGCACAGAUCUCGAAAAACAAAGAGAGCAAGCAAAAAAGAGAAAGGUUAAAAGAGAGGUAAUGAUAAGAACGAAUUAAAACCCUAUAGAAACACUUAAGGUGGAGCAAAGAAAAGCUUGAUGCCUUCUCGCUCUCUUUCCUCGUUAGAAUUUAAAGGCAACCCCCCGCUCGAUACCAUAGGGAGGAGAAGUAAUAAAAAAAAAGUGUAAAUUAAAAAAUAUAAAAAACGUAAAAUGAAUAAAUAAAUAAACAAAAAGAGGGAAAUUCCUUACGUUUCAUACGGCGCGGAGAGAGAAAAAAAAAUGUGAACCGCCGAUACUCUGCGGAGGCGAAUAAAUCGUGGCACGUCGUCUGGUGAUGAGGGAAAAAUAGUAUGGGGCCCACUUAGCUCACAACGUUCCAUAAUUAAUAAGUCAUGGAUAAUUAUAAUUUUAUAAGAAAAAAAAGUAUUGUAGGUAAAAUGGUAUAAGGGGAGCUAAAAAACUUUUCAAGUUUAAAAUUAAAUUGUAUAUUUCUAUCAUAAUAUAAAUAAAAAUAUACUUCCAUUAUUUAGUAAUUUUUUAUAAUUUUUGAAAGAUUAAAUUAUUUUUUUUAUUUUUGAGAUUAAAAUAUAAUUUUAUUAUUAUUAAUCUAAAAUUUUAUAAAUUAUAAAGAAUUUAAAUGAAAAAUCUUCUAUUUUAAGGAAUAAAACCCCUGCUAACUUUUGAUUCUGCCAUUAUAUGUACACGUGAUGUUUUACCCUUAAGUCAUAUUUCUAAAUUUAUAUUUUUAAAAAUUAGUAUAAAUAUAAUAAAGUUAUAGAAUAAUUGAAAUUUUAUCCGACUAUUUAAUAUAUAUAUAUAUUAGAUUUGUCAUAUUAUAUGUACAAUAAUUAUUUUAAAAAAUUCAAAACUAUUUAUUUGAAAAUUGGGCCAUUUUGUGAUUGAAAGCUAAGGGGUCUCGGUCAGGGCGUCUUCUUUGAUUCUCCGAAAUGGUUGGGUACUACUACGAAUGACAUUGGAGAUAUUACUAUAAAUGUGGUGUGUGGUAGCCACCUGUCUUCUGUUAUGAUUUUUUUUUAAAUAAUUACGAACUCGUUGGUUCAGUUUAUUCUAUUAUUCAAAAAUUCGAAAUCAGUACAAUAUAACAAUCUCUCUUAUCCUUAAAAUCUUUUCCUUUUAAUUAUAACAUUCACAAUAAAAUUAUGGAGUAUGGAAAAAAAAAGUUGAGAGAAUGUCGGUGUAGAAGGAAACGAGGUGGUAACGUCUGAAUGAAAAAAAAAAAAACAAUGUGUAGAAAAGGUAUGUUGAAAGCAAAGCUAGCCCGAAAUGAAUGGAAAGAGCGUGAAGAAAGAAAUCUUGAAUGUGGUGGUGCUGAUACGUGAUGGUGUUGGAGCAUUAUAGGAUUGGAGAAAAGCCCUUAUCCCCUGGCUGGCUGGCGAAGCACAUGUCGGUUGACUUCUUUCCCAUAUAACUACCAUUCAAAUAAAAUAAAAGCACAUAGCUGACGUUAAUCUAAUCCUAGUCCUAUAUAUCCUGCCAACUACACGGUUUGAAUUUUAAUUGCUACAUUGACGCAGGCAACGGGACAAAAAGUAACGUAUGACCGACGAAGUCAAGUAUUGGAGUCGUCUUUCAUUCUUCAACCCUACCAGUAAUUGGCGCAGUGAUUUGUUGAAUUCUUAACAUUUGGCGUAAUUCCUUUUUUCUUUUUCCUUUUAAAAUCAGUUUCAUGCUUAUUUAAUCAGCACCCAUUUGCCAUAUGUUUGAAUGUUUCCGAUCCUCCUUCAAAGAAAAAGAAAAAGAAUGUUUCCGAUCCAUUUGCCAUUUGGACCAUGUUGUUCCCUCCAAUUCUGCCCAAUGUCUAUGUUUUCCUUUUACUUUUUCUUUAUUAGCCAUAAAAAAUUAGUACGUUGAAAUUAUCUCAUUUUUUUAAACAGUAUAAAUUUUCAAAAAUGAAAAAAACAAAAAGUUUUUAAAGAAUAUAUAUCUUUUGUAACUUUUCAAAAUUUUGAAAAUUUCCACUAUAGGUCAAUUUUUACAAAUAUUAUUUUAAGUGGUAUUCACAUAAAACCCUUUUAAUAAAAAUAACUUUAAAAUUUAAAUUUAAUCUAAAUGAACAAAAUUUAUUUGUUGAUAUUUUGAGAAAGAAACAAUAACUUCCUAAAAUACUUAUUCUCAAAUGAUCAGUUAGCUAGUCGUUGAGAUUUGGGCAUAUCUUGAGACAAUAUUUAAUUUCCAUUUUUUUCUUUAUAAUUGUUUUCUUUUCUUUUACUUGUGAACAGAAAGGUUGAUAACGAUACUCGAUCUGUAUGCACGAUUAUUUUUUGCGUGACUUGGUACCAAUAAAUGUAUUGAAUAAUAGCAGAAGAUAAGGCAUUUAACAACCGACGGUGUAUGGAAUAAUAAUACCAAUAACACUAAAAGUGUAAAAUGCUUAACUUUUUUUUUUCAUUAAUUACUGAAAUUAGAUGCUUUAAUACAGUUCAUUAAGCUGCUACGCCUGAAAAUAUAUCAAUAGUUAGAUAAAUCACGUAUAAAAUAUGUUAUUUAAUAAUUUUCUUUGCUGUUAGGAGUAAUAAUCACAAAUUUCAAACAAAUAUUAUAUAAUUAAUAUGAAAAUUUUAAAAAAAAAUCUAGAAGCUUAACUUGAUUUGCAUCUUAUAAUAUAUAAAUGAGAUAAAUGAAAUCCAAAAUAAAAUUAGAUAGUUAUAUUAUUUAGAUUGAACUAUCAUUUUUCAACUCAAUUUUGAAUAAUUUAAGUUCAAAUUACCGACAAACUAUUAGGUGAGGUGACAACGAUUUUAUUUACAUAAUAAUGAACACUUGAAAAACAAAUUUGUUGCGAAGGAUUUACAUUAAGUUGUUGAUAAUAGAUACCAAAGAGAAAGAAAAGAGGGUGGAAAUAAAGUUCGAUUCCCUCACGUAGGGUGGAGAAUUGGAUGAUAAGUAAGGGAGAAGGAGAAAGAGGAAUAAUUGGGAAAGAAUCGUCAUUCUCUUGUGUGUCUAGGCUUAUAUAGUGGGUUAUCCACUUAUCAUUUGUCUCGUAGUGGUGUUUGGUGGGUUUUAUGGUUUUACGGAUAAGUCAAAAGUUAAAUUCAAAUAUCAAAUGAGAAUUAUUAUUGAAGGUUGGUUUAUCGUUAUGGUACAUGUUGCGUGAUCUUGUCACUGUCAUAGGUUAUCUUACUCUAACACCACCAUAUUUUAAAGUACUGCCAGAUGACAAAUAAGUUUAUUUAUCUUUAAGUAAGAGAUCUCAUUCUCAAAUAAAAGAUUUUAGGUAGAAAAUAUAUUAUGAAAAAUUAUCACGAAAAGUUUAAUGUGGAAUGCUCACAAUUUCACUGCAUGUCUCUUAUGGUAGGGUAUAACAGAUGCUUUGGCUUAACAUAGAUUAAUAUCUAAUACGAUUUGAAAAUACCCUCAGUUAAGAGAAAAAAAAAACUUUAGUUCAUUUAGAGGUGUUCAUGGGCCGGGCUACUCGGCCUGCCCGAAAUGUGAGAGGAUUUGGGCAAAAAUAUAAUCCCAAAAAAUUAGCUUGGACAAAAAAAUACGCCCGUUUAAAAAAUGGACCGGGACUCAGGUAAGAUAUUUUAGCUCGGGCCUGACCCAAAUUCACUAAAGGACAAAAAAAUUCUGUAUUUUUUUUAAUGUUAUUUUCUUGUUGAUUUCUCCCUAUUUUGCUACCAUUUUACUAUUAUGUUGCUACUAUUUUGUUGUUAUUGUUUGGAUAUUAUAUAAAACUUAUUUUCUUAUUAUUUUAAAGGCAUUUGUUAAUUUUUUUAUUAUUUUAGAGACAUUUGUUUGUUAAGUUGCAUCUAUCUUUAGUGUUAUUUAAGUCUAUAUAUUUUUUAAAAUUUAUUUUUAAUUUGUUGGGAAAUAUUUGUUUUGAUAUUUUUAGUAUUUUUGAUGUAUAAUAUAUUUAAAAAUAAUAUAAAAAUUAAUAUGGGCCGGGCUCAGAUUUUAGUAUUUUUAUCCGAGUCGGGCUUGAACAAAAUUUUAGUCCCGUUUUUUGGACCCGACCCGACCUCAAUAAAUAGACAUACUUUUUAAUUGAGCGCAGCCCAAACCCAACCUAGCCCGACUAUGAACACUUCUAAGUUGAUUCGUUUCAUCGGGCUAGCUUUCCAGUUUUGCAAACAUUGGGCAGGGUUCAUUGCCUUGAAAGAGAAUGAGUACCACUACCAAUGCCUAAAUACUAAUGGCAUUUUUCUUUUCAAGAAUAUGUUAUUUGGAAGCUUUUUGACCGAAAACAAUAAUUGUCGGGAAUUUGAUUUUUGAUAUAUAUUUUUUAUUUUAGAACUUUACGAAUUUACUUCCAAACUUCAUUAAGCUGACCAACUAAGCUGCAUUUGGUAAUGAGAAAAACGAGGGGAAGAAAAUAAUUACUGCUUCAUUAGUUUAGGCGUAAAAUUUGAAAAUAAAACCUUUUGAUCACAAAGUAUAAAUAGAUUUAUAAAUUCAAAAUAAUUAAUAUUUUUCACAUAUAUAAAAAGUAAAAAAUCACAAAUAAAUAAUAAUAGAAGUACAAUUAACCUUAUCUACAACAAGCGUUUAAUUGUUAUAUAGAUUUGAUUAUUAUAUACCUAUAAUAACAUUUGAGAUUUAAAUUAUAUUUUUAAAAUUUAAAAUUUAAAAUUAUAAUAUAAUAAUAUCAGUUAAUUAAUAAAUUUUACUGAUUCAAUCUCAUUAGAAUUUUUAAACUCUACAAAUAAAGUUAAGAGUUAACAAAUGUCUUAUACAAAUAUAAUAAUUUAUUAAAAAUAUAUUUUUAAAAAGAAAACAUAUAUAUCAAAAUAAAGUAAAAAUAAAAUCAAAAUCAUAACAAAAUGUUAUUAUAGAAAAUAGACAUCACCAUAUAAAUAUUCGUUUUAUAAUAAGUUUUGUCCAAGGUUCCUUCUCGAUUUAUUAUGUAUCAAGAGGAAAAAAAAAAUACCAGAGCCGAAAACUAGAAAUUAAAAAAAAAAUUAAAACAGAAAAGGCCCAAAAUCCUUGGGGUAAGUGUGUUGACCGGGUUGAUCUUCAAAGCAGAAAGUAUAAUAAAUAAAUAAACCGAAAUAAAAAUAAAACAUCCAAAAAAAAACCCGGUUCAUUUUUUUUUUGUUUUUGCGUUCAAAUUGAUUUAUUGUUAAACAUGUUUAGGUACAAAAUGUUUAUAUUCAAUGUGGUGCAUUUUUUUAUGUUACAAUAUUUAAUUUUAUCAUUAUUUUUUUUAUUUUUAUAUUAACUGUAAAUAAAUACACCACCCAUCUAAAGAAAUCCUUAAUCAAUUAAUUUAAUUUAAUCUCAACAACAUUGAUGGUACUUAUAUAGAGUUAGUUGAUUGACUAUAUAAAAUGAUAUUUAUGUCUUUAUAAUGCAAUAAUAAAUAGCCAUGAGAUUAGAAACUUGUAAGGAAGAAAUAUUUAGGCCACUUUGAUGUAUUUUCUUUUUCUUUUCCUUUUGGCCUUUUUAAUAAAAAAUAAGAACAAAUAACUAAAACAUCAACGAGAAGCUGAGUUAGCAAUAUAUUAAUUAUUUUAAAUAAAUUGAUCAUAUUUGGAGGAAAAUGUCAAACAUUGAAUUGGAAUUUCAAGCUUUUAAAUAAAAUAUACAAAUUAUUAUCUUAAUUACUAUAAUUCAAUAGAAGUGCAAUUUAAAAAAAAAAUUCUUUGUUUGCUGCAUCCUUGCUGUACAUCGCAUGCAUCACCGACGUUUAACUAACAGCUUACGGACCGGAAAGCCCACUCAUUCAUUCUCUUCAACCAGCUAUUUUCUCUUCGUUGACGAAUUAAAAAAGAAGUAAAGAAAAAACCGCCCGUUAGAUUCACACAGAUCUGAACACUAAAUAUUAAUCCAACGGUUGGGACUGCGGAGUCGAAUCCAAUAACUUAUUUCUUGAAUUUAUUCCUCUUUUCUUCAAAAAUUAUUUUCUCCCUAAGAAAAAAAAUUAAACAGCCGACCGGUGCUGACGUACCAGAGACGUUUCACCAGAUCUCACUUUUCUCAUCCCUGAUCUGGUAUUGCGUUCUUUUCAAUUCACCAAAUAAAAUUUAAAAAAGAAAAAACAGUUUAUUUCUUUUAUUUUUUUCCAAUUUUCACAGUGAUUAUUAACGGCGUUUCCUUUUCUGGUGUAGGGUUUAUUCGUUAGUUCCGAUAAAUUUAUUCUAUUCCCAUGGCUGCUCCACCUGCAAGAGCUCGAGCCGAUUAUGACUACCUCAUAAAGCUCCUUUUGAUCGGCGACAGCGGUAACUAUCUCUUUUCCUUCUCUAUAUCUUGAUUUGAGAUGAGAUCUACUGUUUAAUCGACAUUGACUUUGUGAAAUGUAAGGGUUCCUUGAAAGGAUUUGAUGUUUUAUUAAAUUCCUAAAUAUGGAAAACUUAGAUGUGAGAGCUUUCAAGGUCAUUAGCUUAGAUUAGGUUUCAUUUUAGGUUUAUAGAUGAUACGAUAAUUCGGAAAAUUAUUGUUUGUUUCAGUGAUUUUAUGAUGAAUCUAUACCAAUGGCGUCUUAUAUUUUAUGUUGUAGUUUUUAAUGUUUUCUGCCUCAAUAUAGCUAGUUGCCAUGGGAAUGUUCUCGUGUCACUUGGUGGCUACUGAGGAUGGAUGCGAAGGCUGAGAUAGGAAAAGAAGGAUACAAGGUUUAAUAUGUAUAUUUGCAUAAGAGACCUUUCUUAAUACAAGGGAUUGCCUGCUAUAAAUAGUUUUAUUUUAUUUAUUAUUGUAAUUUGGGAUUAAUAGUUCAUACUGUAGCGAUUUUUUAAAGGAGUUCUAUUGAGAACCUGCACUUCCUCAAGAAUUUGAGUUCCAUGUAACUCUGUUAUGCUAUCAUGCUGUUGGGCAGGUGUGGGUAAGAGUUGCCUGCUUUUGCGUUUUUCGGAUGGCUCAUUCACUACAAGUUUUAUCACGACAAUUGGGUAGGUAUUAUCUAAUAACAGUGUAGUGGUAUAUUAUUAUUUCAACAAGGGGCAUGUUGUUUAAUAAGGUUGUGUUUUCUUUGGCAGAAUUGACUUUAAGAUAAGGACCAUAGAGCUUGAUGGAAAAAGGAUCAAGCUGCAAAUUUGGGAUACUGCUGGGCAAGAGAGGUUUCGUACAAUUACAACUGGUUAGAUUUUUGGCUUUGAAGGUGUCACUGACUAGAAAUGAAAUACCCAAUCAGAACAAUUGCUUAUCUGAUAGAUAAAAUAAUUCAAUAGCAGGACUUGGGUAUUGUUUUGCAUAAACCUGUUAUUUGCAAGUGUUGUCCUAUGAUCCGGGUUACAUUAGUUAUCACUCUAAUACUCAAAUUUAAUAACAUCUCUGGAUCAAGGUGGUUGUUGCUUUGCAUUCUCUUUUUUGUGCUUUUCAGUCUGCUAGGAAGUUAGGAGUUUGUAUGCCUCAGUGUUUUGUCUAUCUCAUGCUUGCCAAGCGCCUCCUAUUGUAAUGCUCUAUAAUUAUAGGACAGGACUUGGAAAUAAAAUUACAAAGAAAAAAUGUUUAGGAGUGAAAUUCUUUCAGUCCUCUAGAGGCAUAGCUGUUAUUAUUAUCUUUGUGGGUGUUUGGAAAUUUCACAUCUAGAUAAUUUUCUCUUUGUUCCAUGCCCCAAACGUGGUUCCUUGCUCUUUGUUUCCCCUAGAAACAAAAGUUAUCUUAGUUUUACCCUUUUGGGCAGGCUUUGGUGGCUCUAAGUGCCUACUUUCCUAAUACAUCUGGAUUUUAUUGUAUUCUGAAGUCUUUUCUUGUUGACAGAGAACUAAAGUAAUAUCUCUUUUUGUGCAGCUUACUACCGUGGAGCCAUGGGCAUAUUGCUUGUGUAUGACGUGACUGAUGAAUCAUCUUUCAAUAGUAAUUACUGAACUUUUUGUCAUUUGAACUUUGGACUUUAUUCACAUGAUUCAUCUUAACCAAAUUUUUAAUAUUUAGAAAUGUUUUCCACCUAAUUUGCUUGUUACUGGAACUUGGAAGUAUACUUCUUAUCCAUUGGUUUGAAAUUUUAGUCCUUAAUUUUCCUAUCAACUCGGCUAAUGUUAAUUUUUUCUUAGACAUUAGAAACUGGAUUCGAAAUAUUGAACAGCAUGCUUCAGACAAUGUGAACAAGAUUCUAGUGGGUAAUAAGGCUGACAUGGAUGAAAGUAAAAGGGUCUGUUCUUUCCCUCUCGUACUUUGUGCAUCUUUAUAUGCAUUUUUGUUUACCCCUUUGUUUACUAUAUUGGAUAUUUUUCUUAAGUCUAUCGAGGAACUUCUUUUUCAGGCUGUCCCUACCUCAAAGGGCCAAGCUCUUGCUGACGAAUAUGGCAUCAAGUUCUUUGAGACUGUAUGUAAUUUUUGCUGCAGAUGCUGUAAUUACUUUUGUAGUUGAUAUUUCUAUAUGCUUAAGACUUACUCUAUCUUGCAGAGUGCAAAAACAAACUUAAAUGUCGAGGAGGUUUUCUUUUCAAUAGCCAGGGACAUCAAGCAAAGACUUGCUGACACUGACUCAAAGGCUGAGGUAUGGAUUCUUGUGCUCGAACUAUCAACUUUUCUCGUAACAUAUAUGCAGUACUUUUGAUAAUUGUGCAAAUCCUUCUUUAACACACGUCUCUUGUGAUAACUAUUCUAAUUAAUUUACAUAUAUGGUUAUCUUUUUAUUAACUUUUUCUGGGUCUUUACAGCCACAGGCAAUCAAAAUUAACCAACAAGACCAGGGAGCUGGGGCUGCGGCAGCUGCUCAAAAAUCAUCUUGCUGUGGAGCUUGAACAAACUACAUUGCGGAUGAGAUCUGAAGGGUACAUUUUCUUCUCUAUGGUGCCAUUUUGAUCCUGGGAAAACUAAUUUGUUACAACUAUUUUGUUUAUAUUCUCCUGCAUAUCAUUAUUUUACAGCUGCUACUGUCUGGUGUGAAAUGUUAUUAGAUCUUGGUAUUUUGCAAUAUUAAUUAUAUUAGAUCAUUUGUUUAAAUAACGUGCUUGAAGGCAAAUCUACCUACCAUUUUGGUGUUCGGAAUUUGAAACUAAGAACAGCCCUGGUAAAUUGGUGAACCACAUGAAAUCGUGCCAAGAAUUGGAGUAUAAUUGAAUCAAUAGAUUUGUGAAGUUUAUGUCUCCAAAAUGAAAGGAUCGUGUUCAAGCUAAUCCUUUACCUCUCCUCUUAUCUGGACAGAGUUAAAACCCAGAUUACGAUCGAUUGAUUUCCCCCUUGAAAAAGUUCUCGUUCGAUAGAUAGGUAAGAAUAAGCCUUAGACCCAAGUAAACUCGCUUAGCCUCGAUUGAUUUAUGCCCUUAACCGUGGUUAUCCCAAAUAUACAUUGUUAAUGAUGAUGGGAUUGAGGAGGAUGGUAGGCUUCUUGGCCUAACUAACAUUUAACAUUGCAAUGAUGGGAUGGAAUGUACUUUGUUAUACUGCAUUGCCUAAUCACCUGGAAAUGCUGCUUUAUUUUUUUGGUAGGUAGCAUCAUUGUUUGUUACAACUGACUACUAGAUUUACAAAGACGUAUUUCUGAUAUCGCAAACAAUGCGGGCAUUUGGAUGAGUCGUGUUCUCAUGUUUAUCUUGAUUCGUUUCAACUGCUAUAUAUUUUUAUUCCUCAACUUGCUCAAUAAAGCUUAACAGAAUCAAAAUUGAUUAGUUGGUAAUUAUUAGCCAAUACUGAAUAAUCACAACUGAGUCAAAUUGAUGAACAGGCGGCGCCACUAUAUCCGAAUUAAUCACAAUUAAAAUAAUGGUUAUGGAACAACAGGGUAUGUCAGGCCGCUUUAUUUUUUUCCUCUUUAUCUCUGGUUUCCGAGGUAUCUUUUUCGGCUCCCUUACGAGAAAAGUAAGACUUAUUGGAAAUUAUGAGUACCCAACUGAGGGGAAUCUCUUUUUAAUAGUAAUGCAAUAAUGCAAUGCAGACAGGGAAUCUCUUUUUAAUAGAAAAGUCUUUAAACAAUAACUUUUGGGACAGAAAAAAUAAUAAUGCCUAUGUACUUAAAAAAAAAAAGAAAAAGAAAUUACAAUAUGUUCCAUAUUUUAAUAAAAUAAAAACUCGUUUAAAAAUAAUUCAACGAGGUAGAGGCAGCCAUUCAAUGGACAAGAACCUAACAGCGAUAAAUUUUUGGAUAGUAAAUAGUAUAAAUUUUAAUCAAUGGUCAAGAUAUUCAAUAGUACAAGGACAAUCAAUCCUAAUUUCAUUAGAAAUUUAUAUUAAUUAGUCUCUAAAAGUUCUUACCCAAUCAAGAUAUCAAAAGUGCAUUAACUUUAGCAUAUUAGGAAGAAAUAGAUAGCAUAAAAUUCCUCAUCCUCGUGAGUUCAUCUCCUCGACAAACUUGGCUUAUUUUACAAGUUAAUAUUAUAACAAUUGAAUUGGAGAGUAGAGUCAUUAGGAGGCAGGUGUAAGCCAUUCUUUGCUGCAGUUUUCUUUCAAGUUGGGUUUGCAGUCAUGGAUAUCUUAUCUAAGACUGCAUUAAUCCUGGGGAUGAGCAAUUUACGUACUGGUUGUUUACCGCCAUGCCUUUGCCACCCUUGUUAUGGCUCCUUUCGCUGCUUUUCUUGACAAGUAUAUUCUUCUUCUUCUUCCUCUCUUAAAGUCCAUUCAUGCCCAUUUUACCUUUUUAGCUAUCUACUCCUGUUUUUUGUUUGACAGGAAAAUGAGGCCUAAGAUGACCAUGAGAAUCUUCAUCCAAACAAUCUACUCCUCUGUGUUCAGCCAGAAUGAAAGAGGACAUAAUGGCUACAAUAAUCAUGCAUAGGGGACUAAAAGCUGUCACAAAUACUGGACCUCUGUGUUUCAUUAUCAUCCCUUGAAUGUAAUAAGCAAGUCGUGAACAUACAAUACCCUGCAACCAUGCAAUUUUCAGAUAUUGUGUUAAAAAAUAAAACAAUAUUCGAAUUAUGGCACCAUUAUUUGGAUGAAGAUGGUCAUCUUAGGCCUCAUUUUCCUGUCAAACAAAAAAGAGGAGUAGAUCGUUAAAAAGGUAAAAAUGACAUGAAUGGAGUUUAAGAAAGAAAGAAGAAGAAGAAUAUACUUGUCAAGAAAAGCAGCGAAAGGAGCCAUAACAAGGGUGGCAAUGGCAUGGCGGUAAACAACCAGUACGUAACUGGCUCAUCCCCAGGUUUAAUGCAGUCGUAGAUAAGAUAUUCAUGACUGCAAACUCAACUUGCAAGAAAACUGCAGCAAAGAAUGGCUUAUACGUGCCUCCUAAUGAACCAUCUACUUGGUUCUCCAUUUUGUCCUACGGAUUUAUGACUUCACUCUCCUAUUCAAUUGUUAUAAUAUUAACUUGUAAAAACAGCAAAGUUUAUUGAGGAUAUGAACUCAUGAGGAUGAGGAAUUUUCUGCUAUCUAUUUCCUCCUAUUUAUAUGUUAAAGUUGAUACACUUUUGAUAUCUUGAGUAAUAAUUUUUAGAGACUAAUUAAUAUAAAUCUCUAAUGAAGUUAAAAUUGAUUGUCUUUAUACUAUUGAAUAUCUUGAACAUUGAUAAUAAAUUACAUUACUUAUUAUCUAAAAUUUUAUUUCACUGUUAGGGUCGGGCCCAAACAAGUUUUUUUUUCUAAAAUUGUUUUUUAUUAAUUUUAUUAGAAAUUAUAAACAAUCAAAUAUUUUAUAUUUUCAAAUCUUUUUCAUUUCUCCUAAAAACAUAAAAUAAAAUAUCAGAGGCGAUUUCAGUUUUUUUUCAUAUUUAAAAGCAAACUCCUUUUUAUUAAACCAUUUUUCAGUUUUUUUUAAUGUUUGUUUCAUGUAAAAUAAGAUGGUUAACAUAAAUUUUUUUUCACUCACCGAAAAUAUUUCUUUCUUAUUCCCGUAAAGUAUCUUACUAAUUUUUUUCCCAUAAUAUAUUUUUUUAAACUGAUAAAGCUCUGCUCACUGUAACGCCUCCAUAUCCAACUUAAACAUCCAAUCAAAGCACCGGGAUGUUACAUUCUCUAUUACAUUAUUUAUUUAUUAAAUAUUUUCUUAUAAAUUUUUAGAACUUUUUAAUUUAAUCCCUUUUUGUCAUAAAAGUUCAAUAUUCAUUAAAUUAAUCAUAUUAAAUCAUUUUUUUUCUUGUUACACUUUAAUCACAUAAUUUAUCUCAAUAUCAUGUUUCACAUAUCAAAUUUUUAUGUAUUUCACUUUUAUGAUUUCAUCCACAUAUUUUCUCAAGUUUAACAAUUUAGUCAUUAUCAUCAUAAAAAUUUCAUAUUUUCCCACAAUUGUACUUUUACAGUACUUCAUGCAUAUUUCAUCAUCUCAUAACAUAUUCACUAAGCUUUUAUUAUAAUUUCCUUAUUCACAUAUUAAAUUAUUUAACACUUAAACUUUUGUACAUUUUUCAAUUUAGUUCUUAUUGCCAAGUAAUUUAUUUUUCACCAUAUAAGCACUUUGAUCAAAUAAUUCAUUAUAAUAUCUUAUUCGAGAUAGCAAAUCUUAUUCCACAUAACAAAUUUUUCAUGCAUAUCUUGUUUCACAAAAUUUAUAAUUUAAUCCUUAACAUCAUAAAAAAUUAUUAUUAAUAUUUUUAAAAAACAACUUCUAUAAAAUACUUUUUAGAAAAUCUAUCAAAUAAAGCUUUCCAGAAAUUAUACUUCGGAAACCAUUCUUAAAGAGAUAAACGUAUCCUUAAUGUAAGCAAAGCAAAACACAAAUUUCAAACUGCAAAAAGCAAUACAAAUUUUUGUGUACUCUGAUUUUUCGGUGGAUUGGUUGUCUUGUACCCUCUUUAUCCUCAAGAAGACAAAUUUCAAACUGCAAGAAGCAAUACGAAUUUGCAUAUUUUUCCAACCACUACACUCCAUCUAACAUUUAAAACUUUCACAAAUUUUUCUGUACUCUGAUUUAUGACAUCUUUGCUGCCAUAUAUACACAAUAACAAAACCAUCUCUUUCACCUUUAAUUUUUUUAUUUUCAAUGGCUAUAAUUUGUGGCCCUAACUGUUAAGCUAACCUAGAGAUUAGCCUACAGAGAUAAAACACUACUUUAAGUUUUUAUUUUUUCAUUUCCAAUCUCCUCCUGUAGAGAUAAAACACUACUUUGAGCAGUUCGAUGAUGAAAGGAAGAGAAGGACUACGCUCUUUGGUUUUAUGAGCCACUUGCAUGCUGGAAAUGCUACUGAGUUAUGGUUGAGUAGUGACGGGUUUGCUCUUACUUUAAAAAAAGAAAAAAAAUAAUACAAAAUUAAUUUUGCUCUUACUUGAAAGAGAUUGACGGGUGGACCGAUGGUGACUACCUGACUGGUGAACAAUGAUGGUGGACCGGUGGUGACUGCCUGACUGAUGAACGACGAUGGUGGUGGCUGGUGGGUGUUGGAGUGGAGAAGGCAAAGUUAUUUUGUUAGGGGGGAUUUAGGAACUAGCUGAUAGAAAUUGGGGGCAGUCAACUGAAGAGGAAAAGAAAACUAAGGGUAGGCAAUUAGGAAUUUAAUUUGGUCCCGGCUCAAAAAUUUCUUACAUGAGUCUCGGAUCAUUUUCUAAGAUGACUUAAUUCAUGAGUAGGUUUAUUUCUACUUAAAUAAUAUUUUUAUCUAAAAUUAAAUAAAAUUAAAAAAUAAAUUAGAAAUAAGAAAAAUAACUCCAUGUACAAUUUUUGAGAAAUAUAAAAAAAAUAUUGAGUUAAUAAAUGAAAAAGUUUUAAUUAAAAUAGUUUAUAGGAAAAAAAGUUUAUUUAAAAUAAUGUUAUUUAUUUCAUCUUUUUUAUAUAUUUACUUCUGUGUUUAUUUCAUACAAAACAAUUUUUUAAAGGAAUUAAGACAAUUAUUAGUAGAAAUAAAUCUCAAAAUUACAUAACUUUAAUUUAAAAUGCAAUUUGAUAUAUAAACCUUGGUUUGGUGCAAUUAUAUACAUGGAACUUUAAUUUUAAUUUAAUCAUACAUAUUUAAAGAAAUAAAUACAUCAAUUUAUUUAUAUAUUGGAUUUGUUCAUGUAAUAUAUAAGCAUAAAAUGAUAUUAUAUCAAUAAUUAUGUUCUUAAUUUGUGAGAAUUAGAUCAAAUCAUAAUUUCAUGUAUAAAAUUAUAUAAAAUCAAAUUUUAUGUAUAAAAUUGUAUAUUUGAACAAAGCUUAUGUAUAGAUUUGAGGUUUAUAAAUAUUAUAGGCUUAACUGAAAAAAUAGCCCUUGAACUAUAACAUUUUUGUCAUUUAAGUAUCUAAACUUUUUUUUUUUUCAAAAUGAUACCUAAAUUUUUAAUCUGAUUACUUUCCUUAAAAGAGUUUCCAUCAACCAAUUAAAUUAUGACAUGAGGCAAAAUUUUAAUUAAAAUUAUUUUUUCUUUUCUUUUCUUUUCUCUUCUUCUCUCUAAAAAGAAGAAAAAUGGAGGAGCCGUUGAAAAGAUCCAUGAAUUAUAUUUUUUUCAAAUUAUAUAUAUAUUAUAUAUAUUUCUCAUUUUGAUUAUUUCUUGUAAUGUAUUGAUGGGCGGAAGCUUCCCAACUAGCAAAAGUAACCUAAUGCCAUGGGCGUUAAUUGAAUAACAAAAGGGCUUGAAUACCAUUUUUUUUUCUUAUUUUCAAGCAUAAACUAAUUUUUAAGCAUGAAUCCAAUGACUGAUUCUGUCGUUUAAUUUUUAUUUUAGGUAAUAAAUACUUAGUUUCUUGUUCUUAAUUAUGUGUGUUUAAUUUUUACUUUAAUAUUUCUAAACUAUUGAUCUGCAUUUGGUGUGUUUAAAUCGAAGGUUGAAUAGAUCCUGUUUAAGAGUAGAUUUUACGUAAUUGAGUAGAGUUGCAUAUAAUCCUAGAAAUAAGACGACAUAAAUCUAGUGAAUUAGAGACAAAUCUAAUAGGGGGAUUUAUAGUACGAAUUAAUGUGAUAAUAGGGAUUUUAAUUAGAAAAAAAUUUAAAUUAAUUAACCUAGAGUCAGUUGCUCUGAUGCUCGAAAGAGAUAUUUGGAUAAUUUAAAGAUUUCUACGGAUCAAAUUACUAAGUAAAUAAAUUGCAUAAUUUAGAUUAAUAGUGAUAGAUGAAAUCUAGGUGAAUUUUUUCUUGGAUAUUAUUUUGCUUCUUAAUUGUUAAUCGAUUAUUUUCCUGUUUUGUUCUUUACCUUUUUCGCUAGUUAAUUAAUUUAGUUGAAUUUAGUUUUUAAUGUAUCACUUGAAUUUAUCAGUUAAAUAAUAGAAAUAUAAUAAUUAUUAGUACUUUUAGUUUUCAAGAUAUCCUUGAUAGAUGCAUUUAACUUAGCCAAAUUUUUAGUUAGUUUAUGAUGCAUUGGUCCAGGUAAAGUUAUUUCUUUUGUUUAUUGACUGCGUUCUGUUUAAGUUUGUUUGANNNNNNNNNNNNNNNNNNNNNNNNNNNNNNNNNNNNNNNNNNNNNNNNNNNNNNNNNNNNNNNNNNNNNNNNNNNNNNNNNNNNNNNNNNNNNNNNNNNNNNNNNNNNNNNNNNNNNNNNNNNNNNNNNNNNNNNNNNNNNNNNNNNNNNNNNNNNNNNNNNNNNNNNNNNNNNNNNNNNNNNNNNNNNNNNNNNNNNNNNNNNNNNNNNNNNNNNNNNNNNNNNNNNNNNNNNNNNNNNNNNNNNNNNNNNNNNNNNNNNNNNNNNNNNNNNNNNNNNNNNNNNNNNNNNNNNNNNNNNNNNNNNNNNNNNNNNNNNNNNNNNNNNNNNNNNNNNNNNNNNNNNNNNNNNNNNNNNNNNNNNNNNNNNNNNNNNNNNNNNNNNNNNNNNNNNNNNNNNNNNNNNNNNNNNNNNNNNNNNNNNNNNNNNNNNNNNNNNNNNNNNNNNNNNNNNNNNNNNNNNNNNNNNNNNNNNNNNNNNNNNNNNNNNNNNNNNNNNNNUAAAAUUUUAAUUUAAUCCUUUAAAAAUUGUAAAAAUAUAAAUAUUAAAAUGAAAAAAUUAUAUUUUUACCAUCGAAAAAAUUAUAUUUUUACCAUCAUAAAAAUAUAUAAUUUAACUUUGGUCUCUAAAAAUUUUCAAACUUCACCUUUAAUAAUAUAAUGAAAUAAGAAAUUAGGUCGCCUAUGGCCAGAAGAAUACUGAAUACCCAAUUUUCAGCCCUGAAAAUCUGAAACAUCCUACGCCGCCAUGAAAGCUGAAGCUUUCCUUUUCGUGUGUGUGUGUAUAUAUAUAUAUGCAUUAAUUUAUUUAUUUGUUGCUAGCCUUCCUGUCUCCUUUUUGUACGAGGUUUAUCAUGCACGAAGCAGACAAAGGUCAUGGUUUUAUUAUUAGAAAUUGAUAAAUUAAUUAAUAUAUGAUCUAAGAAAAAAAAGGAAAGUUGGAAUCCAACCAAAUCUUUCUUAAUUAUUUUGUUUUGGUUGAUGUAGACUAGAAAUGCCCAUUUGGGGUCCAUGCAUUUUCUUACAAACAAAAUCAUAUUUCCGAAGCUUCAGUGAUGGUUCACAGCCAUAGCAGCUCGCCAUUUGCGUAAGCAUAGCCUAUUGCUUACGUUCAUUUCAUUUCCCUUUGCUAAAAAAAGCACCCAAAUUUCUUUUAAUGCUGUAAAACCCAAGCUUUGUAAUUUUUUUUUAAUUUCGUCUAAUAAAACCUGUCAAAUGAGAAGAUCCUGGGUACAAAUUAGGCAUAUAAAUACAAGCUCUAAGGUUUUUUAGUUACCAACCUAAAACAUUACUUCUUGGUUAUCUAGCUUUGGUCUUUAAAAUAUGAAUUAAAUAUUACAUUGUUUUCGAGUUAAGAUAAAGAUAAAAUAUAAAAAUAAUAACUUUUAUAAAUUUGUUAACAUUUACAAAAAAUAAAAUAAAAUUUAUGUACAAAUAUUUAAUUAAUUUAUAAAAUAAGCAUUAUUUAGAAGACUUCUAAUUGAAAAAAAAUAUUAGUUAAAUAUUUGAAAAUUUGAUUUUUUUUCUAUUAGUAUUUAAUCAAUUUUAUAAUUUAUAAUUUUAUAUUUUUAACAUUUCUAAGUAGUAUAUGUUGGCACCAUUUUUUUGGAUAAAACGGGGUCGACUUGGAUUUUGAAAAAAGAAUGAAAACGGGAGUCGCCACCAAUCCUUUUUUGAUGAGGUGUGAUCGGGUCACCUCAAAAAGUGAUUGUUUUUAAUAAAUGAUUUAAUUUUAUUAAAACAACGAUUUUGGUCUACGAAAUUCAGAAAAAUGAGUUCGGGAGUCGGUUACGCACGAGGAAGGAUUAGCACCCUCGAUACGCCCAAAAUUGGUACCUAGUUGAUUAAUUAGUGUCUUAGUGUCGGAAAUUGAAAAUUUGAAGAGUUUUUUUUUAAUACGAUCAUUAAAAGAAACUCUGAUAACGUGAAUUGAAAGGUAAGAUUCUCUUGUUCCGAAGGAAUAUCACAUCCAGCACUUUAGGACACGAUACUCUAAACCAUCGAAACCAAGAUCACUUUAUAGUUUAAUGAAACCAUACUUUGAAGCUUUAAGAGAAUAUUUGGCUAUUUAGUCGAACGAGAAAUCGAAACCCAACACGUUAGGGCACGUUUUCUCGAUUUUCCAAACGCGAAAUAUUGCCUUAUUUAGAAAAAUACAAGUGAAAUUCCGGAGAGAUAUUCGAUUAUUUUGGACAAACGGGAGAUCGCAGCCCAGCACGAUAGGGCACUAUUCCCCGAACUGCCAAACAUCGAACACUUCUUUCGUUUUAAAAGGUUUUUAGAAAACGUGAAUGAAAUUUCGAAGGAAUCUUCGAUUGUUUAGAACAAAUGAAAAAGCACAACCCAACACGAUAGGGCACGAUCCUCAAAUCGCCAAACAUCGAACAUCCUUUGUAUUGAAAGGUUUUUAAUAAACAUGAGUGAAAACCUAAAGAAAUAUUCGAUUAUUUUGAACAAACGAGAAAUUGCAACCUAACAUGUUAGGGCACUAUUCCACGAAUUGCCAAAUAUCGAGUCUCGUCUUCAUGAUAAAUAAAAUAUAAUAAGUAUAAUAAACUAUAUUUAAAAUUAUUAUAAAAUAUGUAUAUAAAAAGAAAUAGUACAGAAAAAAUGAUUAUUAGUAAAACAAAAAUAAGAUAACAAGUAAUGUGAUACAUAUAAUGACAAUUUGUACAUAAAAUAAUUAGUUUUAUUUUAUAUAUAUAUAUAUAUGAAGCAUAUAACAAAUAAAUAAAUAAAUAAUAUAGUAAUGUGAAACUUAACUCCAAUUGAUUAAAUUAGAUGAAAAGAAAUAAGAAAUAAUGAAAAUGAUAUAAUAAGUAUAAUAAAUAAUAAUGUAAAAAAAAUAGUAUAAUAAAUAAUAAGAAAAUAAUUUUAAAAAUGAUAUAAAAAAAAUAGUAAUAAUAGAUUAAUAAUAAUACCAAAAAAAAAUUUGUUAUAGAAGUGUCUAAAAUAAACAAAAUAGGGCUUAAUUGAAUUAAAAAAUGAAAUUCUGGAGUGAAAACAGAACAAAAGGAUACAAGGGGACCAAAAUGCACACGUGGGUAAGGAGGGAGGGGUCUGGGUGUAAAUUUCCGGGGUAAUUUGAAAGCAUUUAAAGAAAACAAAAAAAGACUUGAUUGAACGUAGGCACCCAGGACAGGGACUAAUCGCGAAAAUUUCCCAUUUAAAAGAAAUGUGCACAUUUCCAUCCCUUGAAUGCACGGUCAGGUUUUUCCCUUCCCUAGGCUCUACUUUUGAGGGGAAAAAAACAAAUGAAGCUUACUUUUUUAUUUUUUUUUUAUUUUUAAAACAUUGAACACCCCUUUUUGAAAAAAAAAAAAAAUUACCCAUCAUCUCUCUUAUUUUCCUUAAAGAAAAACAGAGAGAAAGCUCUCAAAUUUUCUCUUAGGCCUGUGCCACCCUCAUCGGAGAUCCGGCUAGCCGAGGUCGUGAGUUCGUCGGUAAGUCCCCUCUCUCCCUCUCUUGUUUUUUUAAAAAAAACCGUUUUAAAAAAAUUUGAAAAGGAAACAGAACAAACGAAGUCCAAAUCAAGAGAAAAUUCGAAAAGAGAAAAAAAAAUGAAAAAUCACCUUUCAAAACUUAGUUCCGAUUCUUGAUUUACUCUUGAACUUUGUAUUAUCUCCGAAAAAAAAUAUAUAUAUCCCCCCAAAAUACAAUCGAUUCCUCUCUAAAAAUCCCCCCUAAAAUACAAUCCCUUCUCCCAUCGAAAUAUCAAAAAAUCCCCCCUGUUACAAAUGAUAGAUUUCGGCUUUUAAAGCCAAUAUAUUUUUUUCGUUCCUUUUGUUUAUUACUUCCCCCAUCAUUCGCAUGCUUUCUUUGCUGUUGUGUUUGUUCUUGUUGCAGGUGGUGGGCACGGUGGAGUGUCAGACGCGUGGGGCGUGGUGGCCAAGGCUGAGGGGCAUGGUGGCCGACAUGGUGGCAUGGAGAGCUGGAGGUGUGGCAGAUGAGGAGGCCAGCGGCACACAUGCUUAGGGGAGGCAAAUAGGGUUUGCUUCUGCCGAAAAUGUUAAAGUCAUAUGGGCUAGGGUUUUUUAAUUUUGGGCCCAUUUGUGAUUGGGUUAUUAUUUGUAUUUUAUGGACUAUUUGUGUUUGGAUUUUGGGCUUCCGAGUUUUGGGCCCCGGGCAAAAUUGGGUUUCUACAGUAUAAUAAUUAAAUAGUUUCGAAUUCCACUAAAAAAUGAUUGUAUUGAUUUUUAUUUUUGAUUUUUAAUUAAAUAGUAUUUAUUAUUAUUUUUUAUUUUCUAUUUUUAAAUUGAUUGUAUUGAUUUUUUUUUGAAUUUUUUUAUCUUAUACGUAUACUGGUG
Molecule: long non-coding RNA, 22806 nt
Filed under: Gossypium barbadense (sea-island cotton)
Lineage: Eukaryota; Viridiplantae; Streptophyta; Magnoliopsida; Malvales; Malvaceae
Description: long non-coding RNA (GBAR_LNC008515)
Source: RNAcentral